This 865-nucleotide ribosomal RNA is filed under the name Arthrobacter sp. RNAcentral's name for it is "bacterial SSU rRNA". It matches the Rfam family "Bacterial small subunit ribosomal RNA", at positions 89 to 972 of the family's 1533-position model. Lineage: Bacteria; Bacillati; Actinomycetota; Actinomycetes; Micrococcales; Micrococcaceae. The record is from RNAcentral. RNAcentral also lists the same sequence under 1 other name.
GGAUUAGUGGCGAACGGGUGAGUAACACGUGAGUAACCUGCCCUUAACUCUGGGAUAAGCCUGGGAAACUGGGUCUAAUACCGGAUAUGACUCCUCAUCGCAUGGUGGGGGGUGGAAAGCUUUUUGUGGUUUUGGAUGGACUCGCGGCCUAUCAGCUUGUUGGUGAGGUAAUGGCUCACCAAGGCGACCACGGGUAGCCGGCCUGAGAGGGUGACCGGCCACACUGGGACUGAGACACGGCCCAGACUCCUACGGGAGGCAGCAGUGGGGAAUAUUGCACAAUGGGCGCAAGCCUGAUGCAGCGACGCCGCGUGAGGGAUGACGGCCUUCGGGUUGUAAACCUCUUUCAGUAGGGAAGAAGCGAAAGUGACGGUACCUGCAGAAGAAGCGCCGGCUAACUACGUGCCAGCAGCCGCGGUAAUACGUAGGGCGCACGCGUUAUCCGGAAUUAUUGGGCGUAAAGAGCUCGUACGCGGUUUGUCGCGUCUGCCGUGAAAGUCCGGGGCUCAACUCCAGAUCUGCGGUGGGUACGGGCAGACUAGAGUGAUGUAGGGGAGACUGGAAUUCCUGGUGUAGCGGUGAAAUGCGCAGAUAUCAGGAAGAACACCGAUGGCGAAGGCGGGUCUCUGGGCAUUAACUGACGCUGAAGAGCGAAAGCAUGGGGAGCGAACAAGAUUAUAUACCCUGGUAGUCCAUGCCGUAAACGUUGGGCACUAGGUGUGGGGGACAUUCCACGUUUUCCGCGCCGUAGCUAACGCAUUAAGUGCCCCGCCUGGGGAGUACGGCCGCAAGGCUAAAACUCAAAGAAUUGACGGGGGGCCCGCACAAGCGCGAGCAUGCGAUUAUUCGAUGCACGCGAGACCUU